RNAcentral lists this ribosomal RNA (442 nucleotides) under uncultured microorganism. RNAcentral's name for it is "bacterial SSU rRNA". It matches the Rfam family "Bacterial small subunit ribosomal RNA", at positions 9 to 446 of the family's 1533-position model. The record is from RNAcentral.
GAGUUUGAUCGUGGCUCAGAUUGAACGCUGGCGGCAUGCCUUACACAUGCAAGUCGAACGGCAGCAUGAUCUAGCUUGCUAGAUUGAUGGCGAGUGGCGAACGGGUGAGUAAUACAUCGGAACGUGCCCUGUAGUGGGGGAUAACUAGUCGAAAGAUUAGCUAAUACCGCAUACGACCUGAGGGUGAAAGUGGGGGACCGCAAGGCCUCAUGCUAUAGGAGCGGCCGAUGUCUGAUUAGCUAGUUGGUGGGGUAAAGGCCCACCAAGGCGACGAUCAGUAGCUGGUCUGAGAGGACGAUCAGCCACACUGGGACUGAGACACGGCCCAGACUCCUACGGGAGGCAGCAGUGGGGAAUUUUGGACAAUGGGCGAAAGCCUGAUCCAGCAAUGCCGCGUGUGUGAAGAAGGCCUUCGGUUGUAAGUACGACUUUGUUCCGGUAA